AUUGAACGCUGGCGGCAGGCCUAACACAUGCAAGUCGAGCGAGCGGCGGACGGGUGAGUAAUGUAUGGGGACUGCCCGAUAGAGGGGGAUAACUACUGGAAACGGUAGCUAAUACCGCAUACUAUCGGAUAACCCAUAUGGGAUUAGCUAGUAGGUGAGGGAAUGGCUCACCUAGGCGACGAUCCCUAGCUGGUCUGAGAGGAUGAUCAGCCAACCGGGGGUGUAGACACGGCCCAGACUCCGACGGAAGACGCAGGGGGGAAUAUUUCACAAUGGGCGCAAGCCUGAUGCAGCCAUGCCGCGUGUAUGAAGAAGGCCCUAGGGGUGUAAAGUACUUUCCGUCGGGAGGCGUUACCGACAGAAGAAGCACCGGCUAACUCCGUGCCAGCAGCCGCGGUAAUAC
Molecule: ribosomal RNA, 403 nt
Filed under: uncultured bacterium
Lineage: Bacteria
Description: partial 16S ribosomal RNA
Rfam family: Bacterial small subunit ribosomal RNA
Source: RNAcentral